GGGGCGGAUGUAGCCAAGUGGAUUAAGGCAGU
Molecule: transfer RNA, 32 nt
Filed under: Impatiens balfourii
Lineage: Eukaryota; Viridiplantae; Streptophyta; Magnoliopsida; Ericales; Balsaminaceae
Also listed under: 3 other names
Description: partial tRNA-His
Source: RNAcentral